RNAcentral lists this long non-coding RNA (545 nucleotides) under Heterocephalus glaber (naked mole-rat). Its description in RNAcentral is "lncRNA (ENSHGLG00000050144.1)". The record is from RNAcentral. Lineage: Eukaryota; Metazoa; Chordata; Mammalia; Rodentia; Bathyergidae.
AGGGAGAGGGAGGAUUGAAAUGACGGAUGCUUCUGCUUCAUCAAGGCGCAGCAAGGGAGGCUUUCCACCUAUGUCCCUGUGACUCUUACGGUGGUCUAGAUUCUGCCUGUCAUCGGUGCAGAGUGAGGAGCUUCUCUGCAGAUUCCACCUGUCACGCAAGUUCUAGGAAUUUCGCGCAUCCCACCAAGCUCUCUUCCUUUGAAAUGAUGCCCUACCCCGGCUCCUUAUUAAAUGGGCACAGCAUUAAUUAUGAACAAUGCCCUAGCCAAACCAGGAAUUGUAUGGAAUUUCAUACUUAUGGACUACAGGGUGACAUUUCAAUACAUGUCUAAAAUGUAUAAUGAUCAGAUCAAGCCAGGGAGAAGAUAUGUGGCAGGCAUCUUUAACCUGUGAACCCCACCCUGACUCCAGAUCGGUCACCUCACUCCCUUCAGCAGAGCCCAUGCCACGUGUCAACCUGUCUUCCAGGAGCAGCGAUGGCACCUCCUCUGUCUUAGUCUGCCCGGGCGUCUAUGAUGAAAUACUGCAGACUGGCCAGUUUAAAC